AUGAAUUCUGCCCUCACACUUGUCUCCUUCCAGUCUCCCUCCCUCAACCUAAAACAACACCCGCCGUCCCGACGACAGCAGAUAAGUGCCAAGUGGGAGAAGAGACAACAAUGCUCACCAAAGCCCAUACGAUCAAUACCAGGGCCAAAAGCAACCAGGGGCCUCAACAAAGCUUUCCAUGGAGAUGGAGAUAAUGCCUUGACAGAUGUGAUUCAUGAGUUCUACUCCUCCCUCAAUGACAAGGACAUAGCACGGCUCAUGGAGCUCAUUGACCCUGAUUGCACCGUCGACCACGCUUCCUAUUACAAACCACUCAACUUCAAGAAGACGAUGACCUACUUCGCAAGGCUCAUGGGAUCCAUGGGGGAGAAUGCCAAAUUUGCUAUCGAUGAGGUUUGUCAAGGAGUAGAACCCACUGUUGCUGUAGUAAUGUGGCACCUUGAGUGGAAGGGCAAGAUCAUCCCGUUUACCGAAGGCCUUAGUUUCUACACCUGUUCGGCAAACGGAGAAGAGCUUCUUAUCAGGAAAGUUCAUAUCUUCAACGACUCACCUGUGAAACAAGGAAACCGGGCAUUGGACAUACUUCAUUCCGUUGCCUAUUCGUUCGACAAAAAUCCAGAAUCAGCUGAAAAAACUCUACAGGACACACAAGGGCUUGGGUCCUUUGUCAAGCUUUACGAACUCUGCGUGGAGCUUACCGCGCGUCUUUUCAGAUUUGUGGUGGGUGGAUUGGUUACGGGAAUCCUCAUUUUGUAUAGCAUAUGCAAGGAGUUCAUGUAA
This 780-nucleotide ribosomal RNA is filed under the name Triticum aestivum (bread wheat). Its description in RNAcentral is "partial small subunit ribosomal RNA". The record is from RNAcentral. Lineage: Eukaryota; Viridiplantae; Streptophyta; Magnoliopsida; Poales; Poaceae.